This is a long non-coding RNA of Terrapene triunguis (Three-toed box turtle), 2445 nucleotides long. NCBI's taxonomy places the organism in Eukaryota, Metazoa, Chordata, Testudines, Emydidae. The record is from Ensembl.
CAGCAUCCGUGCGCCUGUGACUUAGCGCUUCCCAGCCCAGAGCUCGGGGCUGGCGUGGGGGGAGGCCGGGCGAACACACCCUUCCCGCGCCUGGGCUGGGGCACUCAAUGCCCGCGUGUGGUAGGUAGCGAGCCGGCUAAGCGGCGGCGGCAGCAGCCUCCAUCCCUCCCCAGAACACGCUGCCCCGGCGGCUUGCGCAACCAAUGCCGCCCUAGCCUGCGCUGGUCUCCCUCCCCUGCAGCCGCCCUGGCCACAGCGGGUUUCCAGAGGCUGCCGCUCUCCCUUUCCUGCCUAAAGAUACAGCUGAUAAGUGCGCGGGCAGCGCGAGCAGGUAAAGGUUUGCACGAGCACAAACACCGGCUGAGGCUGCAAGGGGCUGUCUCUGCUCCGGGCGGACACUGCCUGGGGCUUGGAGCUGAGCCGGACAGCAAACCGCCGCUGCAACCUUUGGCUCCCUCGCAGGCUGGGGUCCAGGAGCUGCCCGCAGUGCUCGGCCGCUUGCGCUGGUUUCCGUUUUGCUGUUGCAGGAGCCUGCAGAGGGCUGCUAGACGGCAGCCAAGGGGCCCCUGUGAUCUGCCGCUAGACCAGCCUUGGCGCGCCGGGCAUGUCCGCUGCCCGGCCUCCCGCGCUGCAGGGGCUCGCCUCGUUUGCAUGCCUGGUGCCCGGGGCAGGGUGGCGCGCCCAGGUCCCCGUCUCUCUGCCUGCUCGGCUCGGACCGCCGCAGCACUGGGGGAGAGAGAAUCUCCUUGCCUAUAAGUGGUUCAAGAUAAUUCCUCGAUAUUUCCAUGAACCAUACUAAAGGAGGUAUCAAGUUUCCUAAAGCCACUAAAAGCUGAAGAUGGAUAUUAAGCAUGCGAAGGAUUAUCUUUACUGGCUAUACUAUCAAUACCUACUGGUCACCUGUUGCUAUGUGUUGGAGCCCUGGGAGCAAUCCAUGUUCCAUACUAUUUUUAUUACAGUUUUUGCUAUGGUGGUGUACACAGCUUAUGUCUUUAUACCUAUCCACAUCCAUUUGGCUUUUGAGUUCUUCUCCCAGUUAUUUGGAGACCAGCGUGAAAGUACUGUUGCCAUUAUGAACUGAAUUUGCCAGGGUUGAUGAUGCAACAGCUACUAUGUGAAAUGUCUUCUUCCACGUUGGGGUUGUUUGUUUAGAAAAAGGUUUGUGUUUGCGGAAACAAUGCUUCCUCGUACAAAAGCUAGCCUGCAUAAUUACCAUAACUGAAAACCAGAAUAAUGCACUGAUUCCUCACUGUAUAGUUCAUAUUUAAAUAAAACACGAGCACAGCUUUUGUUCUGUGACCGUGCAACACCGACUUUGGAAUGCAUUACUUAAUAUUCAACUUGUCUACUGAGAACAGUGUUCCUAUGUAGUAGAUCCUCAAUGUAGAGAAAACAUAUGUUCUUUAACAGUUAGAGACCUUAUUUCUUUAUCACACUGUGUCUAGAAUCAUGAUUUUUACACAUAUGGUUUUCACAAUCAGAAUUUAAUUUUAAUAGCACACAUGAAAAUGUAUUGCAAGCAGCAAAAAGUAUCUAUGAUGAUAGUUGGUAGGAUAUUAUAUUUUUUGAAUACAAGAAAGCUUCUCCCAGAAGGGUACAUGGCAACUACCUUGCAAAACAUGCAAUUCUUUUCCCCAUCCUAGUUUACAGUGUAUCAGAAAUGUGAGUCAAAUAUAACAUGACCCAAGCAGCUGAAGUCUGUUUGUUUUAGUAGUCUGCUAAUUUUUAGCAUAGAUGGUGUCAUGAUAUAAAGGGAUGGUUUGAGGCUUUUCUUUUAGAAAAUGAGAAAUCAAGACUAGACAAGCAUGAAUCCAAUUUUUAGUACCUAAGCUUCUGCUGCUGGAUUUAUGGUGGUUUAAUUGUAAUAAGAUAAUUUAUUAUACUGUAAGUAAUCUUGCAUUGUACUAAGAAUGAUGUACCAGAUAUUUAGUGAGUCUGACUUUUUGUUACACUCAACUUUGCUUGUUACAAACAUCAAUUUUUCCCCUUUCUACUACAAUUCAUUGGGGGAAAGCAAAGCAUGUGUUUGUGCUAAAGGAAGAUGAUCUAGUAAACAGAGUGGAAUUUUCUAAUAAUUGCAGAACGCUGAAGCAUUUAGAUGGAAGCUUUGAUACAGAGGCCUCCUUUACAAAGGAGAAAGGAGAUUUAUUAAAACUGCCUUUGGGGAGUUUCUUAAACCAUGAAAGCGUUUUAUUGUACAUCUGAAUCAAACAUGAAUGCCAAAGAGAAAGCUAUAUAUGCAGAAUACAUACCUUUUGCAACUGGCACUACUGCUAGUGAAAGUGAGAUGCAUAAAAUGUAAAUAGUUUUUGAAGUAUGUUUACACAAUUAUAGCAUGAAGAAAUUUUCUAAUUUUAUCAAGGGGCAUUGGGGUCCUGCACGAUAAAAAGAAUGGCAAAUUCUGAUGUCAAAAAUGAGGCUAUGUUUAUAUGCAGUUUUUCAAAU